RNAcentral lists this long non-coding RNA (396 nucleotides) under Panax ginseng (ginseng). Its description in RNAcentral is "long non-coding RNA (PGIN_LNC006532)". Lineage: Eukaryota; Viridiplantae; Streptophyta; Magnoliopsida; Apiales; Araliaceae. The record is from RNAcentral.
GAAUAAUCCCUGGUCAUAAUCAUACCAAGUCCAUCUAUGCACUACAGGCCACAGAUGACUUUCAACAUAAUAUAAGCAUGAGGAUGAUGACAAUGAUAUAAGAAUUCAAUAAAACAAGUUCAAGAAUUAAUUUAUCCAGGAACUAAUAACGUCCAAAUUGUCAACAUGAUACUUCUUUGUAGAGUUAAAUUCAAGAAUGAUCAGAAGAAUAUUUCCAUGAAAAGAUACUAGAUGAAGCGCAAAUAUCAAGGAUAUUCCUCUAAUUUCAUGGAGUAUAGAAGUCAAAACUUUAAUCAACUGAGUAUAAUAAGGAAUGGAAUAACAAAAGAAAUCACCAGGCAUGCGAUAAACUGCACAGACAGGUUAUUCCAAUAGAAUAAUGAAUAACGAAACCAG